ACGGAUAUGAUGAAAUUGGUAGACGUGUUAGGUUUAGAUUCUAAUGAUAUAAAAUCGUGAGGGUUCGAGUCCCUCUAUCCGUA
RNAcentral lists this transfer RNA (83 nucleotides) under Grateloupia filicina. RNAcentral describes it as "tRNA-Leu". It matches the Rfam family "tRNA". Rfam says of the family: Transfer RNA (tRNA) molecules are approximately 80 nucleotides in length. Their secondary structure includes four short double-helical elements and three loops (D, anti-codon, and T loops). Lineage: Eukaryota; Rhodophyta; Florideophyceae; Halymeniales; Halymeniaceae. RNAcentral also lists the same sequence under 9 other names. The record is from RNAcentral.